CGAAAGGCAUAAGUCCAAUCAACCACCACAUUAGACAUUCCAAGAAUCACAGCCUCUCUGAGGAAGAAAAAGUAAUUAUUACCCAGGUAUUAUCAUUUUCCAUCUGUGCUACCAUGUGAAAAAUGUUGGGAAACUCUACUGGAAACUGACCUUGCUCUUGGGACCCACCCUGCCAGGCAAAAGAGAGCUAGAAAUUCUUCUCAGAGUGAUUUCUAGCUUCCUGUGGCUCGAAGUGAAACUCCCCAGAGUUCAAAAUUUCAUUUCUGGUAUCUAAAGGAAGUUGUGUGGAAUCUUGCUUUCUUCAAAACCUGACAUCUAGCAGUUCUGCUGUAGCAAUUUGGCAAAGAUACAAUAUCCAAGUACAUGAUUAGCUGGUUCAUUUUAUUGAACAAGGUAUAGAUUUGUUUGGUUGCCUUCAAAUUCAUGUGUUAAAUCACCUGUAAGGCUGGGAGCAGGGGCUCAUACCUGUAAUCCCAGCAUUUUGGGAGGCCAAGGUGG
This 498-nucleotide long non-coding RNA is filed under the name Macaca nemestrina (pig-tailed macaque). RNAcentral's name for it is "lncRNA (ENSMNEG00000046000.1)". Lineage: Eukaryota; Metazoa; Chordata; Mammalia; Primates; Cercopithecidae. The record is from RNAcentral.